CCACCACUGCAGCGAAGGCACCUGACACAACUACGCCUACAAUCCCUGCUACAAGCACAAUGAAGAAACCUGAUACAACUACACUUACAAUCCCAA
Long non-coding RNA from Xenopus tropicalis (tropical clawed frog), 96 nucleotides. RefSeq lists it as uncharacterized. The transcript has 4 exons. NCBI's taxonomy places the organism in Eukaryota, Metazoa, Chordata, Amphibia, Anura, Pipidae. The record is from RefSeq and is a predicted model, not a curated record.